GACGAACGCUGGCGGCGUGCUUAACACAUGCAAGUCGAACGGAAAGGCCCUGCUUUUGCGGGGUGCUCGAGUGGCGAACGGGUGAGUAACACGUGAGUAACCAGCCCUUGACUUUGGGAUAACUUCAGGAAACUGGGGCUAAUACCGGAUAGGAGCUCCUGCUGCAUGGUGGGGGUUGGAAAGUUUCGGCGGUUGGGGAUGGACUCGCGGCUUAUCAGCUUGUUGGUGGGGUAGUGGCUUACCAAGGCUUUGACGGGUAGCCGGCCUGAGAGGGUGACCGGCCACAUUGGGACUGAGAUACGGCCCAGACUCCUACGGGAGGCAGCAGUGGGGAAUAUUGCACAAUGGGCGGAAGCCUGAUGCAGCAACGCCGCGUGCGGGAUGACGGCCUUCGGGUUGUAAACCGCUUUCGCCUGUGACGAAGCGUGAGUGACGGUAAUGGGUAAAGAAGCACCGGCUAACUACGUG
RNAcentral lists this ribosomal RNA (468 nucleotides) under uncultured bacterium. Its description in RNAcentral is "partial 16S ribosomal RNA". It matches the Rfam family "Bacterial small subunit ribosomal RNA", at positions 28 to 507 of the family's 1533-position model. The record is from RNAcentral.